GAUGAACGCUGGCGGCGUGCCUAAUACAUGCAAGUCGAGCGAACGGACGAGAAGCUUGCUUCUCUGAUGUUAGCGGCGGACGGGUGAGUAACACGUGGAUAACCUACCUAUAAGACUGGGAUAACUUCGGGAAACCGGAGCUAAUACCGGAUAAUAUUUUGAACCUCAUGGUUCAAAAGUGAAAGACGGUCUUGCUGUCACUUAUAGAUGGAUCCGCGCUGCAUUAGCUAGUUGGUAAGGUAACGGCUUACCAAGGCAACGAUGCAUAGCCGACCUGAAAGGGUGAUCGGCAACACUGGAACUGAGACACGGUCCAGACUCCUACGGGAGGCAGCAGUAGGGAACCUUCCGCAAUGGGCGAAAGCCUGACGGAGCAACGCCGCGUGAGUGAUGAAGGUCUUCGCAUCGUAAAACUCUGUUAUUAGGGAAGAACAUAUGUGUAAGUAACUGUGCACAUCUUGACGGUACCUAAUCAGAAAGCCACGGCUAACUACGU
RNAcentral lists this ribosomal RNA (496 nucleotides) under uncultured bacterium. RNAcentral describes it as "partial 16S ribosomal RNA". It matches the Rfam family "Bacterial small subunit ribosomal RNA", at positions 28 to 506 of the family's 1533-position model. The record is from RNAcentral.